GAGCAUCAGCACCUUGGCUUUAGACUGCUUACUGCUUGAAACAGUCUCACAGUUACAGUAACAGUCUACAGUCAUGGCUACUGACGCCUG
RNAcentral lists this microRNA precursor (90 nucleotides) under Oncorhynchus kisutch (coho salmon). Its description in RNAcentral is "mir-132 microRNA precursor family". It matches the Rfam family "mir-132 microRNA precursor family". The record is from Rfam by way of RNAcentral. RNAcentral also lists the same sequence under 6 other names. Lineage: Eukaryota; Metazoa; Chordata; Actinopteri; Salmoniformes; Salmonidae.